CAGCAGAAUGAAUAUCCAAUUAUGGAUAUACUGUAUCCCGGCAGCCUGCCUCCAGAACUCUGGGUGAACUCAGAUGAGCCUCCAGGACUGCCUGAGCAAGCUGGACUUUGUCAAUUCCAUCUAGAGCCCGAAACUCAAAAUCCAGAGACCCUUGAAGACAUCCAGUCCUCUUCGCUUCAGCAACAAGCCCCAGUGCAGCUUCCACAGCUCUCUGAGGAGGAACCUUCUCUAACCCAUCAGGAGGCCCCAGCUCUGCCUUCACAGUCUCUUCAGGGGGUCUACUCUUCUUCAACAGAGCAGGAGGCCCCAGGACAGCAGCGACCUGCCUCUGAAGAGUUUGUAGCUCCGCCAUUGAUACACCACGAGGUAAAUGUUCCAUUGAAAAGUUGGAGUGAAGCUCAGCACUCAUGCCCGCCCAAUGUCACAGUCAAAUCUGUGGAUAUGGAGCUUGCAGUAACUCUAGAGCCAGAUCUGUCUUCAGUAUUCAGAAGUAAUUCAACUUUGCCUAAUACCACAGUUAAAAAUGUGGAUAUGGAGCUUACCAUACCUGCAGCGUCACUAUGGAAGUUGAACCUUCUCCAGUCCAGCAGGACAACCCUUCUAUUCCCACUGAGCAGGCUGACUUUUCUCUAGCCCAGCCUGAUCUCCCUUCCCCACCUCUGCAUUCUCCUGAAAAGGUUAAAUCUCCAGUCCAGCAGGAGGCCACAGCUCAGACUUCAGAUUCCCCUAAGGAGGUAGAACCUUUUCCAGUCCAGCAAGAGUUUCCAGCUGAGCCACCAGAGCCCCCUAAGGAGGUUGAACCAUCUGCAACCCAGCAGGAAGCCUCAGGUCAUCCUCCAAAGUCCACUGAAGAGGUCAGUCCUCCACUGCAGCAGGAGAUACCAGCUCAGCCAUCAGAGCCACCUGAGAAGGUCGAACCAUCUCCAGUCCUAUAGCAGGCCCCAACUCAGCUUUUAGAGCCCCUUAAAGAGGUAGAAUCCUCUCCAGUCCAGCAGGCAGUCCCUGCUCAGUCUUCAGAACCCCCCUAUGGUGAUAGAACCCUCUCUGACCCAGCAGAUGGCCCCAUCUUUGCCUCCAGAGUUCCCUCAGGAGGUAGAACCAUCUCUAACUCAGCAGGA
This 1118-nucleotide long non-coding RNA is filed under the name Homo sapiens (human). RNAcentral's name for it is "non-protein coding lnc-MPP2-2:1". The record is from RNAcentral. Lineage: Eukaryota; Metazoa; Chordata; Mammalia; Primates; Hominidae.